Molecule: ribosomal RNA, 468 nt
Filed under: uncultured bacterium
Lineage: Bacteria
Description: partial 16S ribosomal RNA
Rfam family: Bacterial small subunit ribosomal RNA
Source: RNAcentral
GACGAACGCUGGCGGCGUGCUUAACACAUGCAAGUCGAACGGAAAGGCCCUGCUUUUGUGGGGUGCUCGAGUGGCGAACGGGUGAGUAACACGUGAGUAACCUGCCCUUUACUUUGUGAUACCUUCAGGAAACUGGGGCUAAUACCGGAUAGGAGCUCCUGCUUCAUGGUGGUGGUUGGAAAUUUUCGGCGGUUGGGGAUGGACUCGCGGCUUAUCAGCUUGUUGGUGGGGUAGUGGCUUACCAAGGCUUUGACGGGUAGCCGGCCUGAGAGGGUGACCGGCCACAUUGGGACUGAGAUACGGCCCAGACUCCUACGGGAGGCAGCAGUGAGGAAUAUUGCACAAUGGGCGGAAGCCUGAUGCAGCAACGCCGCGUGCGGGAUGACGGCCUUCGGGUUGUAAACCGCUUUCGCCUGUGACGAAGCGUGAGUGACGGUAAUGGGUAAAGAAGCACCGGCUAACUACGUG